CCUACGGGGUGCAGCAGUCGAGAAUCAUUCACAAUGGGGGAAACCCUGAUGGUGCGACGCCGCGUGGGGGAAUGAAGGUCUUCGGAUGGUAAACCCCUGUCAUGUGGGAGCAAAUUAAAAAGAUAGUACCACAAGAGGAAGAGACGGCUAAGUCUGUGCCAGCAGCCGCGGUAAUACAGAGGGCUCAAGCGUUGUUCGGAAUCACUGGGCGUAAAGCGGGCGUAGGCUGUUUCGUAAGUCGUGUGUGAAAGGCGCGGGCUCAACCCGCGGACGGCACAUGAUACUGUGGGACUAGAGUAAUGGAGGGGGAACCGGAAUUCUCGGUGUAGCAGUGAAAUGCGUAGAUAUCGAGAGGAACACUCGUGGCGAAGGCGGGUUCCUGGACAUUAACUGACGCUGAGGCACGAAGGCCAGGGGAGCGAAAGGGAUUAGAUACCCUUGUAGUC
This 446-nucleotide ribosomal RNA is filed under the name uncultured bacterium. Its description in RNAcentral is "partial 16S ribosomal RNA". It matches the Rfam family "Bacterial small subunit ribosomal RNA", at positions 338 to 795 of the family's 1533-position model. The record is from RNAcentral.